Molecule: ribosomal RNA, 497 nt
Filed under: uncultured bacterium
Lineage: Bacteria
Description: partial 16S ribosomal RNA
Rfam family: Bacterial small subunit ribosomal RNA
Source: RNAcentral
GAUGAACGCUGGCGGCGUGCCUAAUACAUGCAAGUCGAGCGAACGGACGAGAAGCUUGCUUCUCUGAUGUUAGCGGCGGACGGGUGAGUAACACGUGGAUAACCUACCUAUAAGACUGGGAUAACUUCGGGAAACCGGAGCUAAUACCGGAUAAUAUUUUGAACCGCAUGGUUCAAAAGUGAAAGACGGUCUUGCUGUCACUUAUAGAUGGAUCCGCGCUGCAUUAGCUAGUUGGUAAGGUAACGGCUUACCAAGGCAGCGAUGCAUAGCCGACCUGAGAGGGUGAUCGGCCACACUGGAACUGAGACACGGUCCAGACUCCUACGGGAGGCAGCAGUAGGGAAUCUUCCGCAAUGGGCGAAAGCCUGACGGAGCAACGCCGCGUGAGUGAUGAAGGUCUUCGGAUCGUAAAACUCUGUUAUUAGGGAAGAACAUAUGUGUAAGAAACUGUGCACAUCUUGACGGUACCUAAUCAGAAAGCCACGGCUAACUACGUG